UUUGUAAUAGUUUAUUUUUAAUUUAGUUUUUAAUUAAAUUGGUGGAAGUGUCCUUGUUUUUAGUAUUAAUUAUGAAAUAAUUUAUUUUAAUAAUAGUAUAUUGUACCGUGAGGGAAUAAUUUCUAAUUUAAGAAGUAGAUUUUAAUCGUACCUUUUGCAUCAGGGCUUAUUAAUUUACAUUAAUUAUGUUUAAUGUUCCCGAAAUUAAAUGAGUUAAGAUUCAAUGUUAGUUUUUGUUUUAAAAAGAUUGGUAAUUGUGUUUUAGUAGUGAUAUGCUAUUCAUAUUUAAUGAUAUCUGGUUCUUUAAGAAUUGUAUUUAAUACAGGGAUUAAAAUGUGAUUGAUAAUUGUAUUUUAUUAAUAAUCCUUAAUCUUUAAGGGAUUAGCUUUGAAGAUGGUUUAUAAUAUAUGAAUUAAUUGGAAGUUCUUAGGCUUAAUAAUAGUCAUUUUAAUUUGUUAUAAUUAGCUUUCUUUUGAUUUUUAUUUUAUUUUUAUUUAAAUUUUUAUUAAAGUUUAUUUUUUAAUUAAGUAUGAUUAGUAAUAAUGAUAAGAUUAGUAUUUUUAUAAAUUGUAUGUUAGGAAUUCGGCAAUACUAAUUCUCGCCUGUUUAACAAAAACAUGGUCUAUUGAUUAUUUAUUUUAGAUCUGACCUGCCCUAUGAUUUUAAAUUAAAUGGCCGCAGUAUCCUGACUGUGCAAAGGUAGCAUAAUAAAUUGUCUUUUAAUUGAAGGCUUGAAUGAAUGGUUGGACGAAGAAUUUACUUUCUUACAUGCAUAUAAUGAACUUAAUUUGUAAGUUAAAAAGCUUACAUAUGAAUGUGGGACGAGAAGACCCUAUAGAGUUUUAUUCUUUUAAUCCAUUCAUCAUUUUAUUUUUAAUUUUGAUGAAUGGGUUAUAGAUUUUUGUUGGGGUGAAAUCCAUUCAUCAUUUUAUUUUUAAUUUUGAUGAAUGGGUUAUAGAUUUUUGUUGGGGUGACAGAGUAAUUUUAUUAACUUACUUUUGGUUUAAUCACUAAUUAGUGUAUAAUUGAUCCUUUAUUAUGGAGUAUAAGAUAAAAUUACCUUAGGGAUAACAGCGUAAUUCUUUUGGAGAGUUCUUAUCGAUGAAGGAGAUUGCGACCUCGAUGUUGGAUUAAAGUUAGUUUUAUAGUGUAGCAGCUUAAUUACUUGGUCUGUUCGACCAUUAAAUCUUUACAUGAUCUGAGUUCAGACCGGCGUGAGCCAGGUUGGUUUCUAUCUACAUUAAAAUUGUGGUACUUUAGUACGAAAGGACCAAGUACUAGGAAUAAUUUCUUAUUAAUUGAAUAUUAAUU
This 1311-nucleotide ribosomal RNA is filed under the name Mezira sp. RNAcentral describes it as "16S ribosomal RNA". The stretch from base 790 to 1311 matches the Rfam family "Bacterial large subunit ribosomal RNA", at positions 2048 to 2734 of the family's 2925-position model. The record is from RNAcentral. Lineage: Eukaryota; Metazoa; Arthropoda; Insecta; Hemiptera; Aradidae.